AUAGUUACCCAGUUCGCGGGUCGACCUAGGGAACCGUGAACUGGUACGGUCGUUCCGGAACGCGGGUCGAAGUCGACCCGGAACACUCGGGAUGGCGUUCCAGUUCGCCAUUUCCGGCGAACUCUGAUCACUUACCGGCGACUAUAAAACGAGGAUGAAAUUAAGAAGAAAGAGGCGAGUAGUGGUGUUUUACCUGACCUGUGAUAUGUAUAUAUGUGGAUAUAUGUAUACAUGACUGUUUGCAGCUGAAGGUGAUGUGUGGUUUGUGGAGAAGAUGAAGCGGGGGAGAAGACAACACAGAUACCAAUGUGAUAACUCAUGAAAGUUAUGGUAGAUCGUGCUGGAUAAUAAUAAUAUAUGUAUAAGUUUUGUGUGUGUCUAUUUAAUGUGUAACCCCUGCAUUCAUUUCUAGACCCACCUAAUGCAUUUGCUGCUUGGACAAGAGCCCACGUUGGAAAGUUUCAGCACUCUCUCCGUUAUUUUUUGACGCUUUGUUUUUUUUUAAUUUUAUAAAUAAAAAUAUGUGCUGAAAAUUUAAUUGAUAAAAAAAUGAUGAAUAAAUAUAAUAAUUUUUACCAUCCAGUCAACCCGUUUAAAGACCAAAAGGGAUAAAAAAUUAUUUUAUUAUGCACCUCGUUUCACAUAAGAAACAAUUCUUAUUAUUUUUUAUUUAUUACUCUAGACUACCCCUUUUAAUAUGAAUUUUGCCAAAAUAAGAUUUUUAUAUUUUUUUAAUAUAAAAAUUACGGGAUCCUUAAUUCGACCCGCGAACCCGAUUCACGGCUCCUCGUACCCGAUUCAUCCAUACUCACGUCCCGCGUACCCGAAUUCAUACCGCGUACCGAAUCGAUCCACGAUCCAUGUAACUAUGGUUCUACGAGCCAUCCGUAGUUACUGGAUUAAAAAGCGAAAACAGAAGCGUUCCGCCCUGGUCAAGAUUUUCCAGGUACUAUCUUUUUGUGACCCAUAAUUAAUAGGUGUUAUUAAUUCAUCAGGUUUUACAGUAUUUGACAUAUGCACUAAUUAUUCAUGAUUAUGAUUUAUCAUUUCUGAUAGUUGUAUCAAUCAAGAACUCGAGUUUUAAGAAAGGCGGAUCAUGGCAAGAAAAGAUCAUUGACUCGAAAAGCUAGAGAAGAUGUAAUUAGGGAGAAGCGAGCAACUGUCCUUCAAGGUAUAUACUGUUGCAUCAAGAAUGUCAUCCUUAUCUUGUUUAAUACACCAUUUCACUAGUCAUUCUAGUUCAAGAGUACCUAAGGUUGGAAGUGUACAUUCCUCUAAGUAGCCACUUAAGUUUCUAAAUAAAUUCCUGGCUUGAACUACAGGCAUUGCAGCUGAACAUAAGAAAAACGAAAAAAAGGUUUCCCUAGAGGCUGAUGCUGCACUUACUAAAUUAGAUGAUUUAGACCUUGGAAAGGGUAAAAGAGCCCAACUGCUGAUGGAGGUUGCAGAUAAGUGUACUUACAAAGCCACUAUGGCUCUUAGAGUUUUUGAAGCAAUUGGACAGGGAAAAUCACUCGUAGAUAUUGCCAAAAAUCUUAUCGACUGACCUAGCUAACUGCAGUUUAGUUGCUUUAUUUCUGCCCAGGACAAACAGUUUCUCUCCCAUUUAUUUUGGGAAGAUUGAAGCCUCUUUUUUGAAAUCUUGCAUAUCCCUUGUUGCAAUACAUGCAAGAAUUUGUAAUAUUCUCAAUAAUUUUUUAAUCUACCACAUCUCUUGAUUAUAAUUUAUUAUUUAUUUCACUGUAGAUAUAGGUAAAUAAAAUUUUUUAACAGGAACAAAAACAUUUAAAUGAAUAAUUUUAACAUUCUCUCUUUAAAUGGACUAUAUGAUUUGUUUACUUAUAUUUAGUGAUAUAUAGUUAUUAUUUCUUACUAGUUUAUUUUUGUAGUUGACACUUAAGUGACUGUUUUAUAAAAUGACAUUAUACAUGUGGUUCAUACCAAUAUUAACAAUUAAGUAAUUAAUAUUAUACAUUCUCAAAAAAAAAAGUAAUUAAUAUUAUAAUGAUAUCACGUCUUAAUUUGAUUGGUUUUAAAUGAAACUUCUAACCAUUUUUAAAUUUUCGAUUUAUUAUGUCAAAUUACAUAUAUUAUAUUCAACGAUUUUUUUAAAAAAUUUGUAGAAAAUUUAUUUGCAGGCACCAUAGAAAUUUAAAAAGUUAAUGAGACAAAAAUUGGAAAGAGAGUAUUCUCGAUUAUGCACAUAGAACACUAUAUUAAAAUUUUAGUUAUUGAAUAAUUUAGAAAAAUACUUUAUUGAAAUCAAUUUUUUAAUUAAAUUUUCUAAAUUUAAUUUUAAUAUUUGAUAAGCAUAAAAUUUCAUUGGUUAUACUGUAUGAGUCAACAUUUAACUUUAUGCUCAAGAUAUGUAUUUAAAGUUCAUUCUUAAGUAAAAUAGUAUCAAAAAUAUAAUAUAAAUACUCAGAUACACUAUAUAUAUCCUAAUAAAACUACUUAUCAUCACCCUAUUAAAAUAUAUAUGAACUCAAUUGAGAUGUUAAUAUAUUCAAAAAUAUCUGUAAAAGAAUAAUCUCGGACCAACAAUUUUUCUUAAAUUAUCGAGGAUUAGUAUACACUAUGUUUUGUUGGAUUCACACAACUAAUUUUAAAUGAUAAAUAUAAUAAUUUAUCAUAUUAUUAAUUAUUAAUUUUUAAUAUUUCGAUGUUUUACAAAAUAUCUGAUAAUAAAUAAAUGAUAUCAACAAUUUUUAUUUGGAAAUUAUUCUUUUAAUAUAUUAAAGGAUAUAUCCAUCAAACCAUAGAAAAUAAGGAAACACCCAAUAUUAUUUAAAAAUAAAAAAAUAAAAUAAAAUAUAUUUAAUCUUUACUAGUCAUGUAUAUUAAUUUAUGAUUCGUGAGAUUAUUGAGAAUAUCUCACGAUACUAAUAAUCUUAAGACAUAUAGAAUAAUCCGGAACAUACUAGAACUUUAAUUUCAAUUCAAAAUUAUGAGAACAUUCCGGAACUUGCAAGAACUUUGUUUGUAUAUUAAUCCAACGGCUGAGAUGAGAAUAUGAAAAUUAUAUAUGCAAGCUUUCUUCUUCAAAUUGUUCGUUGUCCCAACCACAAAUAAUUGAAUACCAUAAUAAACCCAAUUCUCAUCUGAGAACCCAUCCACAAACUCUCAUUAGCAAUAUCAUAUACGAUUUUCAAUGAUUCAAACUUUUUCUAUUUGUAAAUUUUACUUUCACCAAAUCCUAGCACUAAUUCUUAUCAUUUAGGUGUGGAUCAGGUAUGCAUUUGUGAAUUUAUUUAUGUUUUAUCGUUCAAUUAAAGAUUAAAAAUUAUAGUAACAAUCAAGCCCACAAGUAUAUGUUAUAGUUUUCAUUUUAAUUUUUUAAUUAUUUUUUGGUUGUAAGAACUUGUUGGUAAAAUUAUAAACUAGAUUUUAUAUUUUCUUAUGUUUAACUAAUGUGAUCUUUUUGCAAGGCAGGUGUUUGUUCCCUCACUCCUUAAACAAUGAAGAUUAUGCUCCAAGUAUGGUGAUGCCCUUAUUUUUAAUCCUUUUAUAAAUUUUAUCGGUCUUCUUAGUAUCAUGACUUGUCUGCAGUGUUUAUGUUUACUUUUAACUUGUGCAUAAGUUAAAUUCUUUCAUUUUUUAUUAUUGGGAUGGUAGGUUAUGGCCUUUGAAGUUUAUAAGUGCAAUUCAAUGGAGUUUGAUGAGCCAAUUAAAUUCUGAAAACACCCAUCAACCUCAACUAUAAAUGAGGCCUCCCUACAUCUCUUAAGGGAUAUAGGAGGGCAUUCUCUCAUAUUUGGGAAGAGCAGUGGACUCCGAAAGAAAGGUUCAUACAAGCUGGCGAAAAUAAUUGCAAGCUUCUUUGUCUAAUAUGUGAUCAAUAAUUUCAACCUUAGUAGAAAUUUUUAUAAAGACACGUUGUAAGAGUUUCAAACAUUAUAAAUAUGUAUUUUACUUGAUGUAAGAGUUUCAAGUUUAUAUACGCAUUUUACCCACAUAAUUCUACUCGUGAUGAGAGAAAACUUACAUAUAUUUAUGUUCAUGGCUUCUAUGCUGUCAAAGUGAAUGGAGAGGGCAUUUUUCAAGAAAAAUCAAAACAGGUUAACAAGUAAAACUCUAAAUACAAUAUAUAGAGGAAAAUAUAAGGUCAAUGAAUUCAAGGUAAAAUGAAUGAGGAUUAUUACAUUUGUAUGUCUCUCCUAUACUUAAAUUAUAGUGCAAAAAUAUUUGUAAAUAUAAUUAUAAUAAAUUUAUAUUGUCUAUUUUAAUUUAUUCCCAAAAUCACACUUUAUCCUUCUAAUUAUAAUUCAUCAUUAUUAGAAUGUCAAUAAUAUUUUUAGAAUCACAUAAAGAAUUAUGAAAAAUUCAAGUAAAAUUCUUACAAAUUAUAAAACGUAGACAGAAGCCGAUUUUCUUUUUAUCUUUCAUUCAAAGUUCAAGCUUUAAAAUCAAAUUAGAUUUGUAGUAAAUAUUAAAAAUAUAUCUAAAAGAGGGUGCAUCCAAAUGACUCCUUCAAAUGUAUCCAAUUCAUAUUUUGGAUGUCUUUUUCACAUUACUUGUACCAACUAUAUUGUUUAUCUAAUCAAAACAAGUUAUUUUUGACCAGAUGGCUAAAAUCCACCUUAUGACUGACGGCCGAUUUCAACUAAAUUUGACCAAAUGCAGUCAAAUUUAACUAAAUUUGAUCGGAAAUGGCGGUAAAAUUUACCAGUUUAAUUUUUUUUAUUUUAAAUAAUAUAAAACAUCAAAUGAUAAUAUUUUAAUUAACAUAUCCAUUUUUAAAUUUAUAAUGAACAUAACUUUGGAGACUUUGGCCUAAAUGAGCCAAGAACCGCCUAACAAAGUAACAUGCUCAUCAACAAUUUCAACAGUCUAUUGAUGAAUGGAGCAUAGUGAAGAAGGUGCUUUAAAGUAUCAACACAAGAAUUGGUCUCCAUCCGAAAUAGACAAUUUAUCAAAGAAAAAGGUGCACCAAAUAAAUUUAAGGAAGAUAACAAGAAAUCAAUAUACCUUCCAUGCUCUAUCUGAAAAAGAGCAAAUCAUCUUAAAAAGGAUUGCUUGCACAAAAGAAAGCAUUAGUGCAAAGUUUGUAAAAAAGUUUGGACCUAGUGAACAAAUUUGCAGAUUUAGAAAAAGCCACGAGGAGUGAUUGAAGAAAAUGAUUAACAUUUUUAUGCCUAUCAUGCAACUAGAACAAAAUAGAAAAAUGGUUGGUGCACAUAAUUGUAUACAAAAUUGUGUACAUAAUGACAUGUGCCGGGCUUUAAUUGGAAUGUACACAAUUAUGUGCACCUAGCACUACUCAACAAAAUAUGAUGAUACAUGGCUCAUUAAUAAUAGAUGAACAACACACACGACAAAAAUUUAAAGUCUAUUUUAUAAUGUGGAUUCUACAAUAAAUAUAUCAAUCAAUUAAUAUACCAACUUCGAAUAUAAAGAAAGAGUAUCAUUGUUAUUUAAUUUAAGAAAGGUACGUGUUAUGGAUAAAAACAAAGGACAAGCUUAGUGCUUUAAUGACUGCUUAAUGUGAAGGGUCAAAGGAGAUGAAAAAGAACAGAAGACCUCAUGUUCUAGUUCAGGAGUACGAAUAUUUGAAAUUGCAAAACCAAAACAGAUAUUAACUGAUAUUUGUGAAAAGUCUUGGAACCUAGUGAGUUAGUGCACUUCAACAAAAUUAAUGGUGUUUGAAAACUACAAUCAUAACUCAUAUUCAAGUGUCUCUUGAUGAAGUAUAUACCAUAAUGAUGACUAAUGAUUUGGAGAUGAAAAAAAAAGAGAAAAAGGGUUAGAUAAGAUUUUGUAUGUUUCUUUGAAUGCCAAACAAAGUAAGCAAUUAGAAAAUAUAACUAUAAUUAUAUGCAAGGGAAAGUUGUUCAAACUCUCACUCAUGUUUUAUAAUUUAGUGAGCCCUUAGCUAGAGAGUAGGAGUAGAGGUGGAUCAUAUUAUCAUAACUAAUAUAAAGUAUUAUAUUGAAUUUAUAUUUAGGAUAUAAUUAUGAGCUAGAUAAUUAUAAUUAUGUUUAAUUUUUUUUAAACUUUUUAAAUUUGUAUAAAAUGAUUAUAUAUUUAGAAACAUAUGUGUUAUCAUUUUAACUAAAAUAUAUAUACAAUGAUAUUUAAUUUAAAAUUAAUAUAUAUGGGCUCUCAAAGUAGAUCUUUUACUUUUAAGCAACUGAUCAUAAUAAAAUUGGUUUUUAAUUUAUCCAUGAUUAGGCCUAGCCCAAUCCUAAAAACCCUACAAAUUUUACUAUAUAUACGUCUUAUCCUAAUUAUUCAAUUUGCCCCCUACUUCAUCAUUUCAAUUUUUGCCGCCUAUCUCAUCAUUUUAAUAUCUGCCUCCUACCUCAUCAUUUUAAAACCCCCAAAAGAUACUCACACAUUGUGAGAAAAGCAUCUGACAAUUAACGAGUGUUAAUUCUAGUGGCACCUUUAGACUGAGAGCUACUUCAUCGUUCAUUGUGAGAAAGACAGUUGUCAGUCUUCAGUACAGUGAUGUCUCUCAUUGGACUUCCUAAUUUGUUUGGGGUGAAAUCUCACCUGGAAAAUCCUAUGGUGAGUGCCAUUCCUGUCCCUGCUGCAGUUAAAGUAUCUAGCCAUGCUGACAUCGAUUAUGUCCCGUUCAGGAGACCAGAGUCUUACAUCACGUGCAAAGAUGAUGAGCUGACUAGAGUGUUGGGGAGGGAAAGUUCAGUUUAUGAAAUGGAUUGUGAGGAUGAGGAAUGGUUAAACAAAUUUUAAGACAGAAAAAGGAUGUGAGGAGCCCAUUUCUGCUGAUUUUUUUGAGAUGAUUAUUAGUUCAUUCGAGAAGAGAUUAUUCUGUGAUCAAGGUAAUCGUGCGGAUGUAAAGGCUGCCGUUGACCAUUGCAUAUCUCUGGGAAGAAGAGAUGUUCUACGAACCAUCUAUAGUUACUGGAUUAAGAAACGAAAACAGAAGCGUUCGGCCCUGGUCAAGGUUUUCCUGCAGGUACUAUAUCUUUUUGUGACCCAUAAAUAUGUGUUAUUCAUCAGGUUUUACAGUAUUUGACAUGCACUAAUUAUUCAUGAUUAUGAUUGAUCAUUUCUGAUAGUUGUAUCAAUCAAGAACUCGAGUUUUAAGAAAGGCGGAUCAUGGCAAGAAAAGAUCAUUGACUCGAGAAGCUAGAGAAAAUGUAAUUAGGGAGAAGCGAGCAACUGUCCUUCAAGGUAUAUACUGUUGCACCAAGAAUGUCAUCCUUAUCUUGUUUAAUACAUCAUUUCAGUCAUUCUUAUUCAAGAGUACCAGGAAGAUGAAUAUGUACUAUUAUAUAAGUAUACAUUCCUCUAAGUAGCCACUUAAGUUUUUAAAUAAAUUCCUGGCUUGAACUACAUGCAUUGCAGCUGAAGAGAAGAAAAAAGAAUUGAAGGUUGCCUUAGAGGCUGGUGCUGCACUUACUAGAUUAGAGGAUGUAGCCCUUGGAAAGCGUAAAAGAGCCCAAAUGCUGAUGGAGGUUGCAGAUAAGUGUACUUACAAAGCCACUAUGGCUCUUAGAAUUUCUAAAGCAAUUGCACAAGGAAAAUCACUUGUAGAUGUUGCCAAUCAAACUAGAUUUGUAGUAAAUACUUAAAAUAUAUCUUAAAGAAGGUGUAUCCAAAUGAAUCCUUCAAAUGUAUCCAAUUCUUAUUUCUGGAUGUCUUUUUCUCACAUUACUUGUACCAACUAUAUUGUUUAUCUAAUCAAAACAAGUUAUUAUUUGACCGAAGAUGGCUAAAGUCCACUAAGCUAUGAUUGAUCGCCGAUUCCGGUCAAAAUUAACUAUAUUUGACCGAACGUGGACUACAAAAUGUAGGGCAAAACCGACCGCCUAAAACCAACUGGCGCGAAAAAAGUGUCGGGUUAAAACAGAUCGGCCGAAGUCCGUCGGUUUUGAUAAUAACUACGUCGUUUUGCUUUGCUGGCUAGACUCCGACUUAUUUUAACCGACCACUUUCAUCGCGAUCGGUUUUAUAGCUGACGUGUCCGGGUCAUAACUGACCAGGUCAUCGGUCGGUUAUGUUUUUGUGUAAAUUUAAUCAAUUUUUUAAAAAAUUAUUAGACAAGACGACAGCGUUUUUGUGCGUAAAUUUGACCGGAAAUUGCGGUCAAAUUUACCCAUUUUUCUAGUAGUGUCAAUUUAAUUGUUUUUUAUUUUAAAUAAUAUGAAACAUCAAAUAAUAAUAUUUUAAUUAACAUAUCCACUUUUAAAUUUAUAAUGAACAUAACUUUAGAGACUUUGGCCUAAAUGAGCUAAGAACCCCCUAACAAAGUAACAUGCUCAACAAUGUCAACAGUCUAUCAAUGAAUGGAGCAUAGUGAAGAAGGUGCUUUAAAGUAUCAACACAAGAAUUGGUCCCCAUCCGAAAUAGACAAUUUAUCAAAGAAAAAGGUGCAUCGGAUGAUUUUAAGGAAGAUAACAAGAAAUCAAUAUACCUUCCAUACUCUAUCUGAAAAAGAGCAAAUAAUUAGUGCAAAGUUUGUAAAAAAGUUUGGACCUAGUGAACAAAUUUGUGGAUUUAUUGAAGAAAAUGAUUAACAUUUUUAUGUCUAUCAUGCUGCUAGAACAAAAUAUGAUGAUACAUGGCUCAAUAAUAAUGGGUGAACAACACACAUGACUAAAACUUAAAGUCUAUUAUAAUGUGGAUUUUACAAUAAAUUUAUCAAUCAAUUAAUAUACCAACGCAUAGUGAUGACAGAACCUUGUCGAAUAUAAAGAAAGAUUAUCAUUGAUAUUUCACAACUUUCCCUUACAUAUAAUUAUAAUUAUAUGUAAAGGAAAGUUGUUAAAACUCUCAAGGAGGGCCUGUUUUAUAAUUUAGUGAGCCCUUAAAGAGUAGGAGUAGACGUGGAUCAUAUGACAUAAAAAAUUUAAAAGCUAAAUAAAUAUUAUCAUAAUUAACUAAUAUAAAGUAUUAUGUAGUAUUGAAUUUAUAUUUAGGAUAUAAUUAUGAGCUAGCUAAUUAUAAUCAUGUUUAAUUUUAUUUAAAACUUUUUAAAUUUGUAUAAAAUGAUCAUAUAUUUAGACACAUAUGUGUUAUCAUUUUAACUAAAAUAUAUAUACUAUGAUAUUUAAUUUAAAAUUAAUAUAUUUGGGCUCCCAAAUUAGAUCUUUUACGGUUAAGCAACUGAUCAUAAUAAAAUUGGUUUUUUAAUAUAUCCAUGAUUAGGCCCAGCCCAAUUCUAAAAACCCUACAAAUUUUACUAUAUAUACUACUUAUCCUAAUUAUUCAAUUUGCCCCCUACCUCAUCAUUUCAGUUUUUGCCGCCUAUCUCAUCUUUUUAAUAUCUGCCGCCUACCUCAUCAUAUUAAAACCCCCAAAAGAUACUCACACAUUGUGAGAAAAUCAGCUAACAAUUAACGAGUGUUAAUUCUAGUGGUACCAUUAGACUGAGAGGUACUUCAUAGUUCAUUGUGAGAAAGGCAGUUGUCAGUCUUCAUCAGUAUACAGUGAUGUCUCUCAUUGGACUAUGGUGAGUGCCAUUCCAGUCCCGGCUGCAGUUAAAGUAUCUAGCCAUGCUGACAUCGAUUAUGCCCCGUUCAGGAGACCAGAGUCUUACAUCAUGUGGAAAGAUGAUGAACUGACUAGAGUGCUGGGGAGGGAAAGUGCAAUUUAUGAAAUGGAUUGUGAGGAUGAGGAAUGGUUGAAGAAAUUUAAUACAGAAAAAGGAAGUGAUGAGCCCAUCUCUGCUGAUUUUUUUGAGAUGAUUAUUAGUUCAUUCGAGAAGAGAUUAUUCUGUGAUCAAGGUAAUCGUCUGGAUUUUAAGGCUGCUGUUGACCAUUGUAUAUCUCUCGGAAGAAGAGAUGUUCUACGAGCCAUCCAUAGUUACUGGAUUAAAAAGCGAAAACAGAAGCGUUCCGCCCUGGUCAAGGUUUUCCAGGUAAUAUCUUUUUGUGACCUAUAAAUAUGUUUUUUUUGACAUGGUUAUUCAUGAUUAUUAAUUUUAUGAUUCUUCAUGAUGGAUCAUUUCUGAUAGGUCUAUCAAUCAAGAACUCGAGUUUUAAGAAAGGCAAAUCAUGGCAAGAAAAGAUCAUUGACUCGAAAAGAUAGAGAAAAUGAAAUUAGGGACAUGCGAGCAACUCUCCUUCAAGGUAUAUACUGUUGCCCCAGGAAUGUCAUCCUUAUCUUGUUUAAUAAAUCAUUUCAGUCAUUCUUAUUCAAGAGUACCAGGAAGAUGAAUAUGUACUAUUAUAUAAGUAUACAUUCCUCUAAGCAGUCCCUUUAUAAGUUUUUAAAUGAAUUUCUGGUUUGAACAACAGGCAUUGCAGCUGAACAGAAGAAAAACGAAAAAAAGGUUGCCCUAGAGGCUGAUGCUGCACUUACUAAAUUAGAUGAUUUAGUCCUUGGAAAGCGUAAAAAAGCCCAACUGCUGAUGGAGGUUGCAGAUAAGUGUACUUACAAAGCAACUAUGGCUCUUAGAAUUUCUGAAGCAAUUGGGCAAGGAAAACCACUGGUAGAUGUUGCCAAAAAUCUUCUCGGCUGACCUAGCUAACUGCAGUUUAGUUGCUUUAUUUCUGCCCAGGACAAACAGUUUCUCUCCCAUUUAUUUUGGGAAGAUUGAAGCCUCUUUUUUGAAGUCUUCCAUAUCUCUUGUUGCAAUAUAUGCAAGAAUUUGUAAUAUAUACAAUAAUUUUUUAAUCUACCACAUCUCUUGAUUAUAAUUUAUUAUUUAUUUCACUGUAGAUAUAGGUAAAUAAAAUUUUUUAACAGGAACAAAAACAUUUAAAUGAAUAAUUUUAACAUUCUCUCUUUAAAUGGACUAUAUGAUUUGUUUACUUAUAUUUAGUGAUAUAUAGUUAUUAUUUCUUACUAGUUUAUUUUUGUAGUUGACACUUAAGUGACUGUUUUAUAAAAUGACAUUAUACAUGGUUCAUACCAAUAUUAACAAUUAAGUAAUUAAUAUUAUAAUGAUAUCACGUCUUAAUUUGAUUGGUUUUAAAUGAAACUUCUAACCAUUUUUAAAUUUUCGAUUUAUUAUGUCAAAUUACAUAUAUUAUAUUCAACGAUUUUUUUAAAAAAUUUGUAGAAAAUUUAUUUUCAGGCACCAUAGAAAUUUAAAAAGUUAAUGAGACAAAAAUUGGAAAGAGAGUAUUCUCGAUUAUGCACAUAGAACACUAUAUUAAAAUUUUAGUUAUUGAAUAAUUUAGAAAAAUACUUUAUUGAAAUCAAUUUUUUAAUUAAAUUUUCUAAAUUUAAUUUUAAUAUUUGAUAAGCAUAAAAUUUCAUUGGUUAUACUGUAUGAGUCAACAUUUAACUUUAUGCUCAAGAUACGUAUUUAAAGUUCAUUCUUAAGUAAAAUAGUAUCAAAAAUAUAAUAUAAAUACUCAAAUACACUAUAUAUAUCCUAAUAAAACUACUUAUCAUCACCCUAUUAAAAUAUAUAUGAACUCAAUUGAGAUGUUAAUAUAUUCAAAAAUAUCUGUAAAAGAAUAAUCUCGGACCAACAAUUUUUCUUAAAUUAUCGAGGAUUAGUAUACACUAUGUUUUGUUGGAUUCACACAACUAAUUUUAAAUGAUAAAUAUAAUAAUUUAUCAAAUUAUUAAUUUUUAAUAUUUCGAUGUUUUACAAAAUAUCUGAUAAUAAAUAAAUGAUAUCAACAAUUUUUAUUUGGAAAUUAUUCUUUUAAUAUAUUAAAGGAUAUAUCCAUCAAACCAUAGAAAAUAAGGAAACACCCAAUAUUAUUUAAAAAUAAAAAAAUAAAAUAAAAUAUAUUUAAUCUUUACUAGUCAUGUAUAUUAAUUUAUGAUUCGUGAGAUUAUUGAGAAUAUCUCACGAUACUAAUAAUCUUAAGACAUAUAGAAUAAUCCGGAACAUACUAGAACUUUAAUUUCAAUUCAAAAUUAUGAGAACAUUCCGGAACUUGCAAGAACUUUGUUUGUAUAUUAAUCCAACGGCUGAGAUGAGAAUAUGAAAAUUAUAUAUGCAAGCUUUCUUCUUCAAAUUGUUCGUUGUCCCAACCACAAAUAAUUGAAUACCAUAAUAAACCCAAUUCUCAUCUGAGAACCCAUCCACAAACUCUCAUUAGCAAUAUCAUAUACGAUUUUCAAUGAUUCAAACUUUUUCUAUUUGUAAAUUUUACUUUCACCAAAUCCUAGCACUAAUUCUUAUCAUUUAGGUGUGGAUCAGGUAUGCAUUUGUGAAUUUAUUUAUGUUUUAUCUUUCAAUUAAAGAUUAAAAAUUAUAGUAACAAUCAAGCCCACAAGUAUAUGUUAUAGUUUUCAUUUUAAUUUUUUAAUUAUUUUUUGGUUGUAAGAACUUGUUGGUAAAAUUAUAAACUAGAUUUUAUAUUUUCUUAUGUUUAACUAAUGUGAUCUUUUUGUAAGGCAGGUGUUUGUUCCCUCACUCCUUAAACAAUGAAGAUUAUGCUCCAAGUAUGGUGAUGCCCUUAUUUUUAAUCCUUUUAUAAAUUUUAUCGGUCUUCUUAGUAUCAUGACUUGUCUGCAGUGUUUAUGUUUACUUUUAACUUGUGCAUAAGUUAAAUUCUUUCAUUUUUUAUUAUUGGGAUGGUAGGUUAUGGCCUUUGAAGUUUAUAAGUGCAAUUCAAUGGAGUUUGAUGAGCCAAUUAAAUUCUGAAAACACCCAUCAACCUCAACUAUAAAUGAGGCCUCCCUACAUCUCUUAAGGGAUAUAGGAGGGAAUUCUCUCAUAUUUGGGAAGAGCAGUGGACUCCGAAAGAAAGGUUCAUACAAGCUGACGAAAAUAAUUGCAAGCUUCUUUGUCUAAUAUGUGAUCAAUAAUUUCAACCUUAGUAGAAAUUUUUAUAAAGACACGUUGUAAGAGUUUCAAACAUUAUAAAUAUGUAUUUUACUUGAUGUAAGAGUUUCAAGUUUAUAUACGCAUUUUACCCACAUAAUUCUACUCGUGAUGAGAGAAAACUUACAUAUAUUUAUGUUCAUGGCUUCUAUGCUGUCAAAGUGAAUGGAGAGGGCAUUUUUCAAGAAAAAUCAAAACAGGUUAACAAGUAAAACUCUAAAUAAAAUAUAUAGAGGAAAAUAUAAGGUCAAUGAAUUCAAGGUAAAAUGAAUGAGGAUUAUUACAUUUGUAUGUCUCUCCUAUACUUAAAUUAUAGUGCAAAAAUAUUUGUAAAUAUAAUUAUAAUAAAUUUAUAUUGUCUAUUUUAAUUUAUUCCCAAAAUCACACUUUAUCCUUCUAAUUAUAAUUCAUCAUUAUUAGAAUGUCAAUAAUAUUUUUAGAAUCACAUAAAGAAUUAUGAAAAAUUCAAGUAAAAUUCUUACAAAUUAUAAAACGUAGACAGAAGCCGAUUUUCUUUUUAUCUUUCAUUCAAAGUUCAAGCUUUAAAAUCAAAUUAGAUUUGUAGUAAAUAUUAAAAAUAUAUCUAAAAGAGGGUGCAUCCAAAUGACUCCUUCAAAUGUAUCCAAUUCAUAUUUUGGAUGUCUUUUUAACAUUACUUGUACCAACUAUAUUGUUUAUCUAAUCAAAACAAGUUAUUUUUGACCAGAUGGCUAAAAUCCACCUUAUGACUGACGGCCGAUUUCAACUAAAUUUGACCAAAUGCAGUCAAAUUUAACUAAAUUUGAUCGGAAAUGGCGGUAAAAUUUACCAGUUUAAUUUUUUUUAUUUUAAAUAAUAUAAAACAUCAAAUGAUAAUAUUUUAAUUAACAUAUCCAUUUUUAAAUUUAUAAUGAACAUAACUUUGGAGACUUUGGCCUAAAUGAGCCAAGAACCGCCUAACAAAGUAACAUGCUCAUCAACAAUUUCAACAGUCUAUUGAUGAAUGGAGCAUAGUGAAGAAGGUGCUUUAAAGUAUCAACACAAGAAUUGGUCUCCAUCCGAAAUAGACAAUUUAUCAAAGAAAAAGGUGCACCAAAUAAAUUUAAGGAAGAUAACAAGAAAUCAAUAUACCUUCCAUGCUCUAUCUGAAAAAGAGCAAAUCAUCUUAAAAAGGAUGUACCUUCCAUGCUCUAUCUGAAAAAGAGCAAAUCAUCUUAAAAAGGAUUGCUUGCACAAAAGAAAGCAUUAGUGCAAAGUUUGUAAAAAAGUUUGGACCUAGUGAACAAAUUUGCAGAUUUAGAAAAAGCCACGAGGAGUGAUUGAAGAAAAUGAUUAACAUUUUUAUGCCUAUCAUGCAACUAGAACAAAAUAGAAAAAUGGUUGGUGCACAUAAUUGUAUACAAAAUUGGGUACAUAAUGACAUGUGCCGGGCUUUAAUUGGAAUGUACACAAUUAUGUGCACCUAGCACUACUCAACAAAAUAUGAUGAUACAUGGCUCAUUAAUAAUAGAUGAACAACACACACGACAAAAAUUUAAAGUCUAUUUUAUAAUGUGGAUUCUACAAUAAAUAUAUCAAUCAAUUAAUAUACCAACUUCGAAUAUAAAGAAAGAGUAUCAUUGUUAUUUAAUUUAAGAAAGGUACGUGUUAUGGAUAAAAACAAAGGACAAGCUUAGUGCUUUAAUGACUGCUUAAUGUGAAGGGUCAAAGGAGAUGAAAAAGAACAGAAGACCUCAUGUUCUAGUUCAGGAGUACGAAUAUUUGAAAUUGCAAAACCAAAACAGAUAUUAACUGAUAUUUGUGAAAAGUCUUGGAACCUAGUGAGUUAGUGCACUUCAACAAAAUUAAUGGUGUUUGAAAACUACAAUCAUAACUCAUAUUCAAGUGUCUCUUGAUGAAGUAUAUACCAUAAUGAUGACUAAUGAUUUGGAGAUGAAAAAAAAAGAGAAAAAGGGUUAGAUAAGAUUUUGUAUGUUUCUUUGAAUGCCAAACAAAGUAAGCAAUUAGAAAAUAUAACUAUAAUUAUAUGCAAGGGAAAGUUGUUCAAACUCUCACUCAUGUUUUAUAAUUUAGUGAGCCCUUAGCUAGAGAGUAGGAGUAGAGGUGGAUCAUAUUAUCAUAACUAAUAUAAAGUAUUAUAUUGAAUUUAUAUUUAGGAUAUAAUUAUGAGCUAGAUAAUUAUAAUUAUGUUUAAUUUUUUUUAAACUUUUUAAAUUUGUAUAAAAUGAUUAUAUAUUUAGAAACAUAUGUGUUAUCAUUUUAACUAAAAUAUAUAUACAAUGAUAUUUAAUUUAAAAUUAAUAUAUAUGGGCUCUCAAAGUAGAUCUUUUACUUUUAAGCAACUGAUCAUAAUAAAAUUGGUUUUUAAUUUAUCCAUGAUUAGGCCUAGCCCAAUCCUAAAAACCCUACAAAUUUUACUAUAUAUACGUCUUAUCCUAAUUAUUCAAUUUGCCCCCUACUUCAUCAUUUCAAUUUUUGCCGCCUAUCUCAUCAUUUUAAUAUCUGCCUCCUACCUCAUCAUUUUAAAACCCCCAAAAGAUACUCACACAUUGUGAGAAAAGCAUCUGACAAUUAACGAGUGUUAAUUCUAGUGGCACCUUUAGACUGAGAGCUACUUCAUCGUUCAUUGUGAGAAAGACAGUUGUCAGUCUUCAGUACAGUGAUGUCUCUCAUUGGACUUCCUAAUUUGUUUGGGGUGAAAUCUCACCUGGAAAAUCCUAUGGUGAGUGCCAUUCCUGUCCCUGCUGCAGUUAAAGUAUCUAGCCAUGCUGACAUCGAUUAUGUCCCGUUCAGGAGACCAGAGUCUUACAUCACGUGCAAAGAUGAUGAGCUGACUAGAGUGUUGGGGAGGGAAAGUUCAGUUUAUGAAAUGGAUUGUGAGGAUGAGGAAUGGUUAAACAAAUUUUAAGACAGAAAAAGGAUGUGAGGAGCCCAUUUCUGCUGAUAUUUUUGAGAUGAUUAUUAGUUCAUUCGAGAAGAGAUUAUUCUGUGAUCAAGGUAAUCGUGUGGAUGUAAAGGCUGCCGUUGACCAUUGCAUAUCUCUGGGAAGAAGAGAUGUUCUACGAACCAUCUAUAGUUACUGGAUUAAGAAACGAAAACAGAAGCGUUCGGCCCUGGUCAAGGUUUUCCUGCAGGUACUAUAUCUUUUUGUGACCCAUAAAUAUGUGUUAUUCAUCAGGUUUUACAGUAUUUGACAUGCACUAAUUAUUCAUGAUUAUGAUUGAUCAUUUCUGAUAGUUGUAUCAAUCAAGAACUCGAGUUUUAAGAAAGGCGGAUCAUGGCAAGAAAAGAUCAUUGACUCGAGAAGCUAGAGAAAAUGUAAUUAGGGAGAAGCGAGCAACUGUCCUUCAAGGUAUAUACUGUUGCACCAAGAAUGUCAUCCUUAUCUUGUUUAAUACAUCAUUUCAGUCAUUCUUAUUCAAGAGUACCAGGAAGAUGAAUAUGUACUAUUAUAUAAGUAUACAUUCCUCUAAGUAGCCACUUAAGUUUUUAAAUAAAUUCCUGGCUUGAACUACAUGCAUUGCAGCUGAAGAGAAGAAAAAAGAAUUGAAGGUUGCCUUAGAGGCUGGUGCUGCACUUACUAGAUUAGAGGAUGUAGCCCUUGGAAAGCGUAAAAGAGUCCAAAUGCUGAUGGAGGUUGCAGAUAAGUGUACUUACAAAGCCACUAUGGCUCUUAGAAUUUCUAAAGCAAUUGCACAAGGAAAAUCAAUUGUAGAUGUUGCCAAUCAAAUUAGAUUAGUAGUAAAUACUUAAAAUAUAUCUUAAAGAAGGUGUAUCCAAAUGAAUCCUUCAAAUGUAUCCAAUUCUUAUUUAUGGAUGUCUUUUUCUCACAUUACUUGUACCAACUAUAUUGUUUAUCUAAUCAAAACAAGUUAUUAUUGACCGAAGAUGGCUAAAAUCCACUAAGCUAUGAUUGAUCGCCGAUUCCGGUCAAAAUUAACUAUAUUUGACCAAACGUGGACUACAAAAAUGUAGGGCAAAACCGACCGCCUAAAACCAACUGGCGCGAAAAACGUGUCGGGUUAAAACAGAUCGGCCGAAGUCCGUCGGUUUUGAUAAUAACUACGUCGUUUUGCUUUGCUGGCUAGACUCCGACUUAUUUUAACCGACCACUUUCAUCGCGGUCGGUUUUAUAGCUGACGUGUCUGGGUCAUAACUGACCAGGCCAUCGGUCGGUUAUGUUUUUGUGUAAAUUUAAUCAAAUUUUUAAAAAAUUAUUAGACAAGACGACAGCGUUUUUGUGCGUAAAUUUGACCGGAAAUUGCGGUCAAAUUUACCCAUUUUUCUAGUAGUGUCAAUUUAAUUGUUUUUUAUUUUAAAUAAUAUGAAACAUCAAAUAAUAAUAUUUUAAUUAACAUAUCCACUUUUAAAUUUAUAAUGAACAUAACUUUAGAGACUUUGGCGUAAAUGAGCUAAGAACCCCCUAACAAAGUAACAUGCUCAACAAUUUCAACAGUCUAUCAAUGAAUGGAGCAUAGUGAAGAAGGUGCUUUAAAGUAUCAACACAAAAAUUGGUCUCCAUCCGAAAUAGACAAUUUAUCAAAUAAAAAGGUGCAUCAGAUGAUUUUAAGGAAGAUAACAAGAAAUCAAUAUACCUUCCAUACUCUAUCUGAAAAAGAGCAAAUAAUUAGUGCAAAGUUUGUAAAAAAGUUUGGACCUAGUGAACAAAUUUGUGGAUUUAUUGAAGAAAAUGAUUAACAUUUUUAUGUCUAUCAUGCCGCUAGAACAAAAUAUGAUGAUACAUGGCUCAAUAAUAAUGGGUGAACAACACACUUGACAAAAACUUAAAGUCUAUAUUAUAAUGUGGAUUUUACAAUAAAUAUAUCAAUCAAUUAAUAUACCAACGCAUAGUGAUGACAGAACCUUGUCGAAUAUAAAGAAAGAUUAUCAUUGAUAUUUCACAACUUUCCCUUACAUAUAAUUAUAAUUAUAUGUAAAGGAAAGUUGUUAAAACUCUCAAGGAGGGCCUGUUUUAUAAUUUAGUGAGCCCUUAAAGAGUAGGAGUAGACGUGGAUCAUAUGACAUAAAAAAUUUAAAAGCUAAAUAAAUAUUAUCAUAAUUAACUAAUAUAAAGUAUUAUGUAGUAUUGAAUUUAUAUUUAGGAUAUAAUUAUGAGCUAGCUAAUUAUAAUCAUGUUUAAUUUUAUUUAAAACUUUUUAAAUUUGUAUAAAAUGAUCAUAUAUUUAGACACAUAUGUGUUAUCAUUUUAACUAAAAUAUAUAUACUAUGAUAUUUAAUUUAAAAUUAAUAUAUUUGGGCUCCCAAAUUAGAUCUUUUACGGUUAAGCAACUGAUCAUAAUAAAAUUGGUUUUUUAAUAUAUCCAUGAUUAGGCCCAGCCCAAUUCUAAAAACCCUACAAAUUUUACUAUAUAUACUACUUAUCCUAAUUAUUCAAUUUGCCCCCUACCUCAUCAUUUCAGUUUUUGCCGCCUAUCUCAUCUUUUUAAUAUCUGCCGCCUACCUCAUCAUAUUAAAACCCCCAAAAGAUACUCACACAUUGUGAGAAAAUCAGCUAACAAUUAACGAGUGUUAAUUCUAGUGGUACCAUUAGACUGAGAGGUACUUCAUAGUUCAUUGUGAGAAAGGCAGUUGUCAGUCUUCAUCAGUAUACAGUGAUGUCUCUCAUUGGACUAUGGUGAGUGCCAUUCCAGUCCCGGCUGCAGUUAAAGUAUCUAGCCAUGCUGACAUCGAUUAUGUCCCGUUCAGGAGACCAGAGUCUUACAUCACGUGCAAAGAUGAUGACCUAACUAGAGUGUUGGGGAGGGGAGGUGCAAUUUAUGAAAUGGAUUGUGAGGAUGAGGAAUGGUUGAACAAAUUUAAUACAGAAAAAGGAAGUGAGGAGCCCAUUUCUGCUGAUUUUUUUGAGAUGAUUAUUAGUUCAUUUGAGAAGAGAUUAUUCUGUGAUCAAGGUAAUCGUCUGGAUGUAAAGACUGCUGUUGACCAUUGUAUAUCUCUGGGAAGAAGAGAUGUUCUACGCAUAGUUACCCGGUUCGCGGGUCGACCUAGGGAACCGUGAACUGGUACGGUCGUUCCGGAACGCGGGUCGAAGUCGACCCGGAACACUCGGGAUGGCGUUCCAGUUCGCCAUUUCCGGCGAACUCUGAUCACUUACCGGCGACUAUAAAACGAGGAUGAAAUUAAGAAGAAAGAGGCGAGUAGUGGUGUUUUAUCUGACCUGUGAUAUGUAUGUAUGUGGAUAUAUGUAUACAUGACUGUUUGCAGCUCAAGGUGAUGUGUGGUUUGUGGAGAAGAUGAAGCGGGGGAGAAAACGAAGUGGGGGAGAAGACAACACAGAUACCAAUGUGAUAACUCAUGAAAGUUAUGGUAGAUCGUGCUGGAUAAUAAUAAUAUAUGUAUAAGUUUUGUGUGUGUCUAUUUAAUGUGUAACCCCUGCAUUCAUUUCUAGACCCACCUAAUGCAUUUGCUGCUUGGACAAGAGCCCACUAUGGAAAGUUUCAGCACUCUCUCCGUUAUUUUUUGACGCUUUGUUUUUUUUUUAAUUUUAUAAAUAAAAAUAUGUGCUGAAAAUUUAAUUUAUAAAAAAAUGAUAAAUAAAUAUAAUAAUUUUUACCAUCCAAUCAACCCGUUUAAAGACGAAAAGGGAUAAAAAAUUAUUUUAUUAUGCACCUCGUUUCACAUAAGAAACAAUUCUUAUUAUUUUUUUAUUUAUUACUCUAGACUACGCCUUUUAAUAUGAAUUUUGCCAAAAUAAGAUUUUUAUAUUUUUUUAAUAUAAAAAUUACGGGAUCCUUAAUUCGACCCGCGAACCCGAUUCACGGCUCCUCGUACCCGAUUCAUCCAUACUCACGUCCCGCGUACCCGAAUUCAUACCGCGUACCGAAUCGAUCCACGAUCCAUGUAACUAUG
This 19549-nucleotide long non-coding RNA is filed under the name Daucus carota (carrot). RNAcentral describes it as "long non-coding RNA (DCAR_LNC001330)". Lineage: Eukaryota; Viridiplantae; Streptophyta; Magnoliopsida; Apiales; Apiaceae. The record is from RNAcentral.